UGAAACUAGAUACAAGCGAGCGGCGGACGGGUGAGUAACACGUGGGUAACCUGCCCAAGAGACUGGGAUAACACCUGGAAACAGAUGCUAAUACCGGAUAACAACACUAGACGCAUGUCUAGAGUUUGAAAGAUGGUUCUGCUAUCACUCUUGGAUGGACCUGCGGUGCAUUAGCUAGUUGGUAAGGUAACGGCUUACCAAGGCAAUGAUGCAUAGCCGAGUUGAGAGACUGAUCGGCCACAUUGGGACUGAGACACGGCCCAAACUCCUACGGGAGGCAGCAGUAGGGAAUCUUCCACAAUGGACGAAAGUCUGAUGGAGCAACGCCGCGUGAGUGAAGAAGGGUUUCGGCUCGUAAAGCUCUGUUGGUAGUGAAGAAAGAUAGAGGUAGUAACUGGCCUUUAUUUGACGGUAAUUACUUAGAAAGUCACGGCUAACUACGUGCCAGCAGCCGCGGUAAUACGUAGGUGGCAAGCGUUGUCCGGAUUUAUUGGGCGUAAAGCGAGUGCAGGCGGUUCAAUAAGUCUGAUGUGAAAGCCUUCGGCUCAACCGGAGAAUUGCAUCAGAAACUGUUGAACUUGAGUGCAGAAGAGGAGAGUGGAACUCCAUGUGUAGCGGUGGAAUGCGUAGAUAUAUGGAAGAACACCAGUGGCGAAGGCGGCUCUCUGGUCUGCAACUGACGCUGAGGCUCGAAAGCAUGGGUAGCGAACAGGAUUAGAUACCCUGGUAGUCCAUGCCGUAAACGAUGAGUGCUAAGUGUUUGGGAGGUUUUCCGCCUCUCAGUGCUGCAGCUAACGCAUUUAAGCACUCCCCCUGGGG
RNAcentral lists this ribosomal RNA (819 nucleotides) under uncultured bacterium. RNAcentral describes it as "bacterial SSU rRNA". It matches the Rfam family "Bacterial small subunit ribosomal RNA", at positions 74 to 878 of the family's 1533-position model. The record is from RNAcentral.